CGCGGCCUAUCAGCUUGUUGGUGAGGUAGUGGCUUACCAAGGCGACGACGGGUAGCCGGCCUGAGAGGGCGACCGGCCACACUGGGACUGAGACACGGCCCAGACUCCUACGGGAGGCAGCAGUGGGGAAUAUUGCACAAUGGGCGCAAGCCUGAUGCAGCGACGCCGCGUGAGGGAUGACGGCCUUCGGGUUGUAAACCUCUUUCAGCAGGGGAGAAGCCUUCGGGUGACGGUACCUGCAGAAGAAGCACCGGCUAACUACGUGCCAGCAGCCGCGGUAAUACGUAGGGUGCGAGCGUUGUCCGGAAUUAUUGGGCGUAAAGAGCUUGUAGGCGGUUUGUCGCGUCUGCUGUGAAAAUCCGGGGCUCAACCCCGGACUUGCAGUGGGUACGGGCAGACUAGAGUGUGGUAGGGGAGACUGGAAUUCCUGGUGUAGCGGUGGAAUGCGCAGAUAUCAGGAGGAACACCGAUGGCGAAGGCAGGUCUCUGGGCCAUUACUGACGCUGAGAAGCGAAAGCAUGGGGAGCAAACAGGAUUAGAUACCCUGGUAGUCCAUGCCGUAAACGUUGGGAACUAGGUGUGGGUCUCAUUCCACGAGAUCCGUGCCGCAGCUAACGCAUUAAGUUCCCCGCCUGGG
RNAcentral lists this ribosomal RNA (637 nucleotides) under uncultured bacterium. RNAcentral's name for it is "bacterial SSU rRNA". It matches the Rfam family "Bacterial small subunit ribosomal RNA", at positions 232 to 877 of the family's 1533-position model. The record is from RNAcentral.